UAUAAUGAACACGGCCGCACCACAAGUAAAGUCUGAGGAAGGACAGAAAACGCUCUGGAGGCUGGUUCAGUCACCCGUUAUCAGUAAAAAUGGUUGACCCCUAACAAUAUGUACAAAAAUACAAAAUGUAAAUAAGAAAUUCAAACUUUCCUUUUAAAGUAUGUUUAAGAAAAAUAGCAGGGCCUGGGAAGCUCUGGUUCUCUUCUCCUCCCAUGUUGCUAAUUCAUGUCGUGGUUUGGGUGGGGCGGUGGAGAGCAUAUGUUAUCUGUGGGUGGCUCUGCCCUCUGUGGGCGGGCGUGGCCUGCUUCUCUACUCGAAGAAGAUCACAUUAAAAUUCUGAGACUGGAAGUGGAGGGUGAAUAGGUCACGGUGUGUAAAGUCCUUGGUGGUGAUCUCGGAGCUGGUAUCCACUGCGGAGUCUGACAUGGUGGGGCACGCCGAUGGUCCGGUGCUGCGAAUAAGGAAUUAGUCGAGCUCGAGGACUCUGGUGAGAAAGCUACCGGAGUCCAGGUUGGAAAAGGCAGUAGGCGGCGAAGGUGGCUGCAGUGAGCGCAGAGCAAAGAUGGCUUUUCAGUGGGGACUGGCUUUUGAGUAGCCAGCGGGGGCAUAAUGGGCAUCCUUAUGUGCUCAGAGACAAGUCUCUGAAGAGAAAGCUUAUUGCCCAGAGUGAUGGGACCAGAAGGUUGUUGCAGGAGCAUGAACCUGCAAAAGAAGCCCAGAAUAUUCUCUGGCUUCCAGUAUCAGGGGCAAGGCUUGUCUGUGGCCACACCACCCUGGGCUACCCAGUCUUGUUUGAUUUCAUUCCUAAGCAAGAUCAGACCUGGUUAGCAUUUCACUGGGAGACAGAAGCUUUCGCUUCCAUGCACACUCCUAACAUCGGCCAUGCAGCCUCCUGAGUCUGCAUUGUCAACCUCCAGAACUAGGAAACAAAUAAACCUAGAUUUGGGGGGAGUUUUUAGGGGGCAGUGUUUUGCUUUGCUUUGGUAUGGUAUGGUUUGGUUUCAUUUGGUGGGUGCGUGGGUGGUUGGUUGGUUGGUCAUCGGUAGCCAUGAACAGCUGACAAGGAGCAAAACGAUGCAGUCAUCAGUAGUGGUUACAAUGUGGAUCAGGAAACUGGGGUGCGGAGCAAGGAAGCAAAUUCCCCACAUGAGGCUUCUUCCUGCCUGCGUGUCUGACUUGUUCCUAUGCUGGUCCUUAUCUGGUUCACCCCGCCCCACCCACCCGCCAUGACUGUUUCCAGUUCCCUUGUGUUCCAUGCCCUCUCCAGCCUCAGCAUCUCCGGUAAGACCCAGAAUUUCAUGUAACCUAAUUUCACUUCCCGGCUUGGGAUGUGGCUCAUCCCUCCUUCUCAGCCCUGGAAUGCCGCCUAUCUAGUCACAACUCCCCUUCGCAGGAUUACUGAACGAAACAGAAGAACGACACUUCUUCUGUCUAGCACCAGAACCAAGGAAAUGAUCGUCAAAGUAUUUCCAUGCUGUAAUCCCCAGGACAAAGUCUAACUUCAGUUCAAUUAAAACUGACUACUAUAUCUAGGGCCAUGGGUAAGGAAUGUCGAGGAAGUUUUAGAAACGCAACUCUGGAGCUGGGCAUGACAGCACACGCUUGGAUGCAAGGUAGGAGGGUCGUGAGUUCAAAGACAUCCUGAACUACAUAGUGAGUUCGAAGCCUGUAUUGUACAGUAAGACCCUGUCUCAAAAAGGUAGAGGGGGCAAUGAGGGAGGAAGGGAAAAGACAGAAAAUGGCAGGAGGGAAGAGGGGAAGGGAGGAAAGGUCCCAAAUAGAGCAAUGUGCCCAUAACUUUCGGCUAGGAAGGGUUUGGGAUUCUAAGGAUGUAGAUAUUAUUUCAUCUAAUGGCUUCCCAAAAGAAAAUUUACUUACAAAAUAUACCUCAAUCUUUUCUGGUCCACAGCUAUGGAUGGACCUCCUGUGGUUGCCCUAAUUCUAGCAUUCUCAGGCCAACGGAGGCUGAGGCCACGGCCCAUGGUCACUGUGUCAGGCGAGGCUCUGACUAAGAAAGCAAGGAAAACAAGCGGAUGUGCUUGGGCUUCAGUUUCUUUUAACUACACCAUUCCCUGUUCUUAGCCCAGGAUGCCGUCAUCCAGGACUCUGAAAACUCUUCUUUGUCACGAGCUUAGGCAGAAAGUCUCUCCAGCCGUGGGUCAGAAUAAGGAAGACCAGGUUCAAGGAGGCCAAGGCAUGAACCUAGAGUCGCCCAGCUGGUACGUACCAAAGCCAAAUCUCUCCUAAUUAAAAUUCUAUCUAACAAGCCUGCCUCUCAUAAAGAUCAAACCCUCUGAUAGUCUCACUAGCAGGUGUCUUCCAGACUUGCUGAUUGUUCACAAUGGAGCUAAUGGAUGUGCUGCCCAGACAAGUUCCAGGUUCCCCUUAAACAGGUUUUUCACAAGCUUCAAACCAAUUGAGGAGUGUGAAGAAACCAGCGAGAGACACUCCACCCAGCAGCCACUCGAACCAACAGUGGUUUCUGCAGACAGCAGUCUAAUCUCUUGGUCUGGCAAGGCUGGGCAAGAGAUCAUUUUCCAGGCUCACCUGCAAUGCUGAAAUUGGAACAUCUUUUCCCACGCAUGUCCUCAGUACUAGAAAUAGUCCCAGUUCCUGACAUAAAGCAAUCGAAGCCCUAGGGAUUCCCGCAUGAUGGUCAUGUGUGCUUUCGUUCUGCCUGGGCCCUGUGUGUUCACACCCCAGUUUAGGGUGCGAUAUGAACUCAAGCUUCGGGAAAUGCUGGGAUAGCUAGGCGGGGGAUGGGAGGCUUCAGGGGGGGAGUUUGUGGCCAGAGGGAUGGGAUUUUCCAUCCCCACUUCAGGCUCAGGGGAUGGAAUGAAGGCCAGAGACUGGGUUCAGAUCAAUCUUCUCUAUGAAGUACUACCUCCCUAAGAUCCCAAAUGAUAACAUCAGAGAGCUUCAAUCACACAGUUGACAAUCACAUGACGGUCUCAGCCAAGAGAGUCUCAGUCUCAACUCACUGGGAACAGCAGCUAUGGAGCAAGGGCCCUUCUAGGUCACACAUAUACAUUUUCUUCUGACUGUUCAUUUUUAUUCUUUACAAUAACCAAAAAUAUCAAUAAAUAAAACAUUUUCCAAAGUCUUA
This 3106-nucleotide small RNA is filed under the name Rattus norvegicus (Norway rat). Its description in RNAcentral is "uncharacterized LOC102552083". Lineage: Eukaryota; Metazoa; Chordata; Mammalia; Rodentia; Muridae. The record is from RNAcentral.